CACGUCAGCGCGCUUUGCUGACAUGGCAACAAAUCGCGCCCUCUAGGACGUGAUUUGCUGCCACAUCAGUAAAGCGCGCUAUCGUGG
Molecule: non-coding RNA, 87 nt
Organism: Gossypium hirsutum (cotton)
Lineage: Eukaryota; Viridiplantae; Streptophyta; Magnoliopsida; Malvales; Malvaceae
Source: Rfam